AUUUUGGAGGUCGGAGCAAUGGUAGGGGUGUUCACAGUUGAAUUUCUUCCUAAACAUAAAAGGUGUUUAAGAGACAAAUUGGGGGCAUUCAAAUAAAAAUAAAUGGGUAUCUAGUUCACAAAGUGGGCUCGUUUACUUAACAAGAGUGUCCUUGAUGUGUACAGUUUAAAAUGAUUGAGAGAGAGAUGAUUUGUUGUUACCAUACGAAUCUGUUCUGACAAUGUUUAAUUUCACUUAAUUUAUUUAACUAUUUUAAAAGAAAUGUAUUUCACUUAGGAAUCUUUUCAUGGCCAAUUUGAAUCUCCUUCAGGGGUAUUUUGAGGGGAUGGGAAGAGAGGCUCAUGUGUCUCGCACAUUUUCUUACAGCGGUUUUGCAGAGGCUCACUGGAGCUUUUUAAAAUAAAGAAGUUUAGAAUGUAAAAUUAUUGGAGACUAUAGAGGAAGGGGAAGGAGGAGUAGAUUUAUAGCUGAAGUGGGUUUGUAAACUCAGCGUCUGCUUUGGGAUUAUUUUUUAAUAUGUGCCAGACAUUCUUCUGAUUUUCAUCCUGGCUUGGUUGUGGCUCUUUCUCUGUCUGUGUGAGGCUGGGGUGUUCCCUGUUUUAAAGCCGUAGUUGUCGCAGCCUGGGCGUUUUCUGUUUCGGCUUAUGGCUUUUUUUCUCUUUUCCUGAAUGAGUGUCCUUUGUGUAACCCCAGUAAUUCAGAAAUCCUGCAGUCAUAGGGACUGCCCUAUCAUGUGACUUAGGUACUAGGUGCUGGCUGCGAUUGGUCAGCAGCUAAUUGGCGGGUCCCUAUAAGAGGUCUUGGGUCGGGCGUCCGGCCACUCUCCUGCCUGGGCUGCUGCUCAACGGGGGCUGGGGGUGUGUGGGGCGGGGGUGGUCUGUCCAGUGAUUCAGCCACAUGUGAUAGAUGACCAAGUGACUGCUUUCUUGGAGUCCGCACACCAGUGGAAGACUCUCAAAGUGGUUGUGACCGACUUGAUCAAACUCUAGGCUUCCUGAACUGGAAUGAAAUGCAGAUAACUCUUUAGAAAACUUUUGUAGGAAAAGCGCCUCGUGUGAUCUGGAACAAAGACGUUUUAUAAUCAGAUUUAUCAAGCUGCGAAGAGGGAGUUUUAGUGAACGGAAGCAGCAGCAUUCUGUCACCAGGAAAUACUCCUUUAUCCAGAAUUGGUAAGUGAAAAGUGGCAUUGCUCCCUAAUAGAUAUCAUAUGUGUGUGUGGGAAUUGAAAAAUUGUUCACAGACCCCUAACAACUGUGUUGAACAGAGAACACAUAAACAGUGAGGAGUUCUAAAAAAGAGCAGCACGAGAAUACCGCAUAAAGACUGAGAAGAAGCCAGGUAAUUAACAAAAAUGAGCUGAGUGCUAUCAGUUUAGCUAAACAUAUGUAAUACAGCUAGAUUUGGUUGUUUUAUUUUUUCUUGUUAGUGGAGGAGAAACAUAAAAUCAGAAUGGGCUGUUUAGUAGAAUUGCGACAUUAACUUUCCAUGGAUGUAGAUUUCCAUCUAGUCUGAAUAGCAUGUAUGAAAUUUGAAGGGAUGCUUUCAGAAUUAGUCUACUUGCCCUCCUUUCCUUUCCUCUGCAUUAAGAUGUCAAGUAUUUAGUUAGAACCUUACAAGAUGAAAGUUGUACAAAAUGAAAGUUCAAGUAAUGCGUCGGAAACACCUCUCCUGAUUGGGAAGGGUAGAUUACAAUGGCAAUAGAUUUUUGUUUUUUCUUUCUUACAUUUGUGUCACGAAUUUUAAGUUUGUUCUAUUGGAUUACAUUAGUACAGCAAAAGGGGGGUUAUUUCUAUCUAUAUGGUUCAUGACAUUUUGAGAGGUCGUGAUUAGUAGUUCUUACUGGUUUCGUAUGCAUGUUCCUGCCUGUUGAAUUCAGUUUUCUAAUCUUGAAUCUGAGCUGCCUUUAUGUUAAAGGGUUCUAGAAAAAGACAAUAAAGCUUUGAAUGCCUGUGUUAUAUACAACAGGUUCCUGUUCAUGAUGUAUAAGGUAACGCAAUUUUAUUUUAGGCAUGAAUGUCUAAUUUCUUGAUUUGGCUUCUUAAGAAUAUACUGAAAAGGUUGAAUAGAAUAAGAAAAAGAACAUUAGAAAAGAAUGGUGGGUGACUGCCUGAUUUUACUAGUUUCUUAUUGGUCAAUAGAAGUAAUCAUGUGAUGUCUACUUAUAGAAGCAAAUGGAAAAAAUUUUUCUUCUUUAACUGCUAACAAUUAUAUAGGCAAUUUUAGCAAUCUUCAUUUAUUAAUUCGAAUAUAUAAUUAUAACUGUUAUUAACAGAAUAAGUUUUGGGUAAUAUAGGAAAUAAUAAUUAUUUCUUUCUUUUUAAGCCAAAUUGGAAGUUGAAUCUACUUUUGGUUCCUGUUCUGUUACUUUCAAAAUCUUAAAAUCCUUAACUCAAAAGGGAAAAUGUAUAAUAAAACAGGAUAGCAGUGCUGAAAUUUCUCUCUCUUAGCAGUGGAGUGGGAUGAGGGUGGGGCAGGGAGAUGAAUCUAGUGAGAUAUAUUAAUUGUUUUUUCCCCCUCUUGUAUACUUGGAUAACUUUUGAGAUCAGUUUUCUCAGACUAGCAGCUCUCAAGACUUUUGCAUAAGUAUUUAUUCUUAAAGAAAUAGAAAGACAAGAUAAGCACGGCUCUUAAGGGCAGGUCCUCCAAUAAGUCAGGAAACUGGUGAUCCAAACUUGUGAAUAUGACAAGUCAAUUUGACUUAAUUAAGGAAUGGCAUUAGUUUUCUUGAAGCACAUGAAUUUAUAGGUUUUUAGAGUCUUGAAGACAGAAAAAUGGCAACAAACCAUUAAGGUAUUUACAGGUAAUUUAUAUUCAACUGCUAGCUUAUGUUUUCAACUCUGUAUUUCAUGUAAGUAAAUACUUGGGGAGAACAUGAUGAUUUAAUAAUCUGGAUAAAUACUGCCGUGCCUGUUGGAAAAAAGCCUCUAAUUUUUACGUUUUCCUCAUCCAUUUAAAAUCCAUUGUUUUGAAUGACAAAAUGUGAUAGAAACAGGUUGGAACAGUAAAUGCUAGAAAGUAUAUCCCAGAAGAAUUAACUGAGAACUUCAUGUUUUCAAUUCUAUUUGCCGUUCUCUGUUCUCAAUUUAUUAAUUUUUAAAAGUACAUCGAAAGUGAGUAGCAUUGCUUGCUCUGAAUUCUCCUCUGGGGUCAUUGAGAGUAUUCACAUUUUCGUAUACACUGUUAAAAGAUAUUAAUGCCAUGCAUAUGCCUUUGUCUUUGUGGGUAUGUAAAACAACAAACUGAAGGGAUCUGGUCAAGAGACAGACCUCAAAAUAAUUUCUCUGAAAUAGUGUUUGAAUUUGCCUGUUCGGGAAUGUAAAUGCUUUCCCUUUGGGCUUGUUUCUGAAGUUUUUGGUGUAGUAUACAGUUUUACCCAAUUAAAUUUUUCUUUUGAGGUCUGUAUAUGUAUGGGUGUCUAUAUUUGAUUUGAAGGGGGAGUUUUAAUCAUUAGUGAAACAAGUGGCUGUUUGUUAGAACCCAGAUAAGCCUCAUAGUGUUGUUCCUAUGACAACUGAGUAGUUGGGUGUUGAAAUGUAGCUUUAAGUUCUUGGUUUGGAAAUGUCAUUCAGACCUCCCACUAUAGUCUCAUUGAGUAGGAGGAUAAUGAGAAGGGGAAAAACCAUGAAGCAACAUAAGUAUCUCCGUUCGUUUCAUGUCUUCCUGACUUGUCUUUGUGUACAGGAUCGCCAUGGGAGUGGUAAACAUAGGUCUUGAACAAAGCAAUACUUCAAUAAAAAAAAUACACGGAAAGGGUCAGAAAAGUUGGGGAAGAUAAAUAACAACACAUGGGGGCAAUAAAGAGGCAAGAGAAAUAGGCUUCCAUGGGUUUCUGCAAAUCCUUUAUCCAGUACUGACCAGCAGUGAGAACAUCUUGAACCAGUUAUUGUAUAGCUCUUCAAGAGCUGUGAAUUUCCUUAAAAUGCAAUGUGGAGAAAAUUCCUUUGGUAGCAGGAUGGUUUACCACUUUGGCAUAACAUUUAUUCAUCUCCCCCAGGCAGACUACAGAGGAUACUGUGUUCUUUUAAGGCACAUGUUUUUAAACCAGUUGUUCAUUUGUCAUUUAAUAGCUUUUGUCUUUUUUCUAUGGGAAAGACAAGGUUGUACUAUUAAAAUAGUGAUAAAAUUUAAGUAUUUUAUUCUAUAUUCAAAAAGUGCUUUUGAAAAGUACUUAGAAAAAGAUUGUUUGAGACCUGUUGUUUGUGGAAAUGUCUGUCAAUGGAGAAUCUAUGGAGCACUGUAUUUGAGGAGAGGGAUUGUUCAGACUAAUAUUUGGCAUAGCUUAAUUAUGCAGUUGUUGAUUUUCCAUGUCUGAAGGUCUUCCUAUUUCCUACUCCUAAAUAGUUUUAACUAUUUAUUUGGUUGCUAGAACCUCCUGAAGUUAGAAAGAAAAAGAUUUCAGUGGGGUUAGUCUCUUAAUAAAUAUAUGCCCACCAUCUCUUCUGUAAUCCAAAAAGCUCUGAAAAUCAAAAGAUUUUCAUGUAACAAAUUUGGCAGCAAAUCCUGACCUGAACUGAUGUGAAGCUAAUGAUAGUCUUUGUUUAGCUCGCUCAGAAUGAGUCUUUGUAUGUUUUACUGUAGAAGUAUUAAUGUGUUUGAUCACGGAGUAUUGUUCCAGACUCCCCUAGAGGUUUAUAUACUAUAUUGAAUAGUCAACCUAUUACCGUUAUAAAAUAAUAAUAAUAAUCAAUCUGAGUGUCAGGUAAGCAUUUGUGGACCCAUAAUUACUGACAUACAUUGAGUUCAUAUUAUAUGCCAGGUACCAUUCUAAAUGAAUCACUGGCAUCUAAGAACAGUGUCUGGCACAUAGUAGGUACUUAGUAGACACGUUUUGGUAGGAACUGCUUUACACUUAUUAAAUUCUUUAACUCACAAAAACAGUAUACAGGAAGUAGCGGAGCCAAGAUUUGAAAGCAGACAGUCUAGCUCCAAUCUGCUCUUAAUGAUUCUGAUGCAGGUACAAGAGAGGACUGGAGAUGUGGCACUGGACUUCUUAACUGAGUCAGAGGGGGUGUUUGAGUGAUUUACUUUAUUCAUAGUCGCCCUAUACCUCCUACGAUCAAGAGCUGGUGGUAUCACCACUAUGGUCAUUAGCCGGGGCUGUGGCUGAAUGCUUAUAACAGGUUCUCCUGGGUGGGAGUGUAGGAAUUCCAGGGGUCUGAACUCUCCUCACAGGCUUCCCAAGGUGAUCUCCAUCAGUAAAUCAGCCCGACUUUUUCAUCUUGAAAAAUUAAGACAUAGGAAAUAACUCUUUCCUUAACCCUAAGGAAGUUUCCUUGAACAGUGGGAAAAACGUUUUUGUAGACAUUCCUUAGACCCCUUACCCAGCAGGAGGUGUGGAAUCAAUAAAGAGGGCAUGGGUCACCUCCAAGGUUGUGAGCUCCCUGGCUUGGGAACUACACUGGGACACAGCAGAGCCUCUUGGGAGAAAUCAGGCAGCCCAUGGAGCUUCAGCUGCAUGACUCUUUGAAUUCACAAAAGGAUACCUUUAACAGUACUUCUCAAAAAAUGUAUAUAAGGCAUGUCUCAAGUCCCUAUAUGUUUCUAGGGAUAAAAAAAUUCAUUUCAAACUGAUGGCAACCUCCCCAUUCUAUUCCCCAGCUUUCUAUCCUUCUUCCUGCUUAAUUUUUCUUCUUAGCACUUGCCUCUGUCUGACAUAUUGUAUGUCUUACUUAUUUAUUCAUUUGACAUUUUAAUUAGACACUAGCAGUAUUGUUUUCUUUGAAUACAUUUAAAGGUCCUAGAUUUAUUUCUUUUUGAUGUUCAUCUUCUAACUCAUUCCCUCCUAUCAAUCUCAGACUGCUGUAAAUAAAUGAUUUUUUGCCUUUUUUUUUUACUAUUAGUUAUCAUAUUUAUUUUUCUUAAACAAGCUGUACUGGUUAUACAGUCUGAAUUUGGAGAAUAGACGUCUUCAUUCAGGAGGGGAAAUUGAGCCAAGUUUGAAUAUAAUCAUUGGGUAACAAAUCCAGAAGAUUAAGUUACUAAGGAGAACAUGCAAAGUAAACACUUGCAUUUUAUGAACUACCUUCAAUUUAAAUAGACAACUGGGUAACUGUAUAUGACAUGUUUUGGGAGUAAGACCUGUUAAACCUACCUACUUCCUACUGUUUUCAUUUGAAAAAUAAAUCAAUUAUUAAACAGUUAUUCUACACAUUAAAGACUGUAAGUGAUUUAACCUUGAAUAUUUCCUGACUCAAGUUCUUAAAAUCCUCAACUCUAACCUCUUGUUUUUCAACCCCAUAUUUAUUCUAGUUUAUUCUUUCCAACAUAUUUAGGGUAAUCUAAAACAUAAAGUAAAAAAAACCCCACAUAUAUUAUUAACUAUAAACAAUGUGGUUAUGUAAAUGCAUCAUUUUAGUUGAUCUUUUUUCUUUAGCCUAGUUCUUUUUUUCUUUUCUUUUCUCUCUUUUUUUUUUUUUUUUUUUUUGAGACAGAGUCUUGCACUGUCACCCGGGCUGGAGUGCAAUGGUGUGACCUUGGCUCACUGAAACCUCCACCUCCUGGGUUCACGUGAUUCUCCUGCCUCAGCCUCCCGAGUAGCUGGGAUUACAGGCACACACUGCCACGCCCGGCUAAUUUUUUUUUAUUUUUUAUUUAUUUAUUUUUUAUUUUUAGUAGAGACGGGGUUUCACUAUGUUGGCCAGGCUGGUCUUGAACUCCUGACCUGGUGAUCUGCCCGCCUCAGCCUCCCAAAGUGCUAGGAUUACAGGUGUGAGCCACCGCGUCUGGCCUAGACUAAUUCUUAAAGGAACAGAUUAGAUACAUACAAAAGUUGAAUUUAGUAUGCUUUUGUAAGUUAAUAUAAUGAUUGGGACAUUUUGUUUUCUUAGCUAUGCUUUAUAACAAAAUAGUUCUAGUUACUUUCUUUUAAAUGGUUACUAAAGUAAUAAGUUGCUUUUUAAAAACCUAGUAUAACUAUUUAAGGUAGACUAUGAAGAGUAGGCUUAGGUUUCAUUUUAAAUUAUCUCCCCUUUCUGCCACGGAAGAGUUUAAUUCCCCUGAUGUGCUUAUGGUAUUGAAAGCCCAUUGUUGGUGUUGGUAUUGAAAGAAAGCUUAGUUUUUCUGCGUUUCCUAAAAGGAGAGGGAAGAAAGAUUUUUAAAAGUGAAAAUCCAUUGAUUUUUUUUUUUCUUGAUUAGGAUUUGUAUAAUAUAUCUGAAGUGAGACUAGAGUUCUUAAAGUUGAGAGAAACAGUAAAUAUGUACACGCCCGGCAAAACUUUGCAGGGAACAUUCAGAGUUCGGAUUACCUGAAAAAAAUCUUGAAAGCUUCAGACAUUUUCCAGAGAGUGUUAGUGCGUGAAAGUGGUACCCAUGACCCCAAGAGGGUGUCCAUUCACAGCCUCCAUUGAAGUAGUUUACUCCCUAAGAGGCCCAGGCUUUGGAAAUAAGUAGAUUUGUGCUUUAAGCUCCCUUUGCCCCUUGCUAGCUGAGUAAGCUACUCCGCUAUUUCCCUGAGCCCCAGAGUGUAGAGCAUCAGAAGUAGUGCACAGGUUUGUUGUGUGAGAUAACACAUGUAAAGCACAUGCUGUGGAACCUGGAGUAAUGGUGCUUAACACACUUGCAUUCCCUUCCAAAAUCCCUUUAGGAACAGACUUCUUCAGUUUAGUCCUAAAGCCUGUAGAUCCAUGCUAAGUGAUAUGACUUUUUUUCACAUCAGAUUAAGCAAAACACUGAUGAUGGUGACUGUCGCUUAUUGUGCAGUUACCAUGUUCUGGACAGGCACUGUUGUAAGGGCUCUACCUGCAUAGACCCAUUUUUCCUCAUGACAAACUAUUGGUGCAAUUAUCAUGCCCAUUUCAUAGAUGAACACACAGAGGCACAGAGAGGUAAAGGAACUUACUUAGGGCCACUCAUCUGUCAUGGAACCAGAAUCUAAAUCCAAAUAGGCUGUUGCCAGUACAGAUGGUAAGUACAUGUACUUCUGGCAGGAAAGCAGAAUAAAAGUUGACUGAACCUGAAAGUCUCGGAAAUGGUCUUCUCAUUUCUAUUCUGUAAAGUGUCAUGUCUUCUAGGCCUACCUCUGUCAAUAUUGAAAUACAAAAUUAACUUUUUCUGCUUUUUAUUUCACAAAUCAACGGGAACAGUCUUAGUCAUUUGUGUUUUAUGAGUUUUAAUUAGGCCACUGCAGUCCAGGAGGGGAAUUCCUUGUUUUCAGUUGAUCUCAUAUACUAACAAGUUUAAUCAUGUAACUUCCCCUAUUUUUUUCUCUAAUGUUUUCACUUGAAAGUGGGGGUGGGAGGGAGAAGUAUGUUAGCAUUUGAGUCCUAGGGAUGCACUUACAUCAACCUUUCUGGAAAUUCCUUCUUGCUGGCAUAGAACUAAUCCGUAGAAAAAUGAAAUGUGUAAGAAUCUGUAUUUACUAAUAUUUUUCUUCUUUAUCUCCAUCUAGUUCUGGAUAUUUUCUGGAGGAUGGGGUAAAACUUCGAGAUAAAGAAGUACAGGAAGCCAUCUAUGUGCAUAAAACCUUAUGUUUGGGUGUGGACUUAAUUUUCAGAAUAUGGGAAAGGGGUUUCACAUUGAGAAUUUCCUCUUUCAGAUGUAGAUUGAGAAUUUUGACUUAGAAGAUGAGGGCAUGUUAUCCUAGCCCGUGGGUUCAGAGUGCUUGGAAGUCUCUUUAAAAAAAAAAAAAAUCCCCUGGCCUUGGACUGAGCCUGCUCUUGGAGGAUUUAUUAAUCAUGCCGGCCUUCAUUCUUUCCUUUGUUUGUUCAUUCCUUCAUUUGUCCAUACUCUCGCAUAAGUCGUUCAACAUCUACCUGCAAAUAGGUGAAAGAAAGGAUGGGAGUGAGAGUCCAUCAGGGGAUGGGAGAGGAGUAGCAAUAAACUCACUCUAUGUUCCUUUCACCUCACCGACUGCAUCUUGUAUCUGAUUGUUUGCCCCUUUGGAGACAACGUAUAUUUCACAGACAGACACUCACAACACUCAUGAAGGUCUUUAAGCAUCUUCCUUUGGGAGCUGCAUUUCUUUUUUUAAAGUGAGAGGAGAAAAUGCUUGUGAGGGAAAAACAGUGCAGAGAAAUGGUUUUUCUUUCUUUCUUUUUAAUGUUGGCGGAAGAAGGGUUCAUAGUAGGGAACGUAUCAGUAAAUAUAAUCUAAGAGCACCCAUGCUUUCAAAUAAUUUCCUUGUUUAAAGAUAUUAAGUGCAGUAGCGUUUACAAUUAAUGAUCACAACCAGUUACAGAUUGCUUUGUUCUUUCUCUACUCUUGCUGCUUCACCUGCCUACGCUUAUAAUAAAAGAACAUUAAGAGACAACAAAGGCCAUCACAAAGAUGUCUUCAAAAAUAAUUUUAAAAUAGAAUUUUAAUUAAUUUAAAGGUAAGAAGUGUUGCCAUGCCCUCAAUCAAAUUUAUUAUGACUUUUUGAAAAUAUCUCUAAGUAAAUAUAUAGAAAAUGAGGAAUGAACAUAGGGGAGGGCUUUUGGAAUUUAUACUACUAUUCUUUCAAAAAAUAUUACUCGUCUCCAUGUUGCAGUUAGGAAUACGCUUCCUUAAGACAGAGUCAUUAUCUUUACUUGUUAUUUAAGUCUUGAUAUCACCUCCUAUAGUUUUUGAAAGACAUCACUCUUCAAGUUGUCUUCAAUGGCACAAACUAUACCUGUGCAUUUUCUGAAACAAGUUUGACCAUACCAGCAAAGGCAAUGAAAAUGCUUUGUCUUUCAGCAUGAAAUGUGAAGUCUACAUUAUUAGUGGGUAUAUAUGGCCCAAGGGAAGAAAAUGUUAAAGUAGAUUUAAAAACAAAAACAAAAUCACUCACACUCUAAAAGAAUGUCUCAGUAUUUCAAGGCUCUUCUCUCUCUCUGUGUUAAAACCAAUAAGGAGGCCUCAGGACAAGUUAGGUUGAUAAUGACAGUGAAUAUCUACCUUUCUCCCCAUUCCGUUUGACAUCCAUACUCCAAAAGACCUUCCCUUAUUUUCUAUGCAUGGGUAGCAGGGAGAUUAUAGAGAAACUGUUCUUUUUCCUGCUUUCUUUUUUUACUGCUGGGGGAGUGAUCACUUUCCUACAGCUCUUGUCCACCUGGCCCUUGAGGCGUUUGGAGUUUUGGUAAGGUGUUAACAAAAAUUGUCUCAGGUGCCAACUAAAUUUCAUAAGCUUAUAGCAGCACAACAGACUAAGACACCACAUGGGAAAUGUACAUUUUACAAAAAUGUAUUAUACAUCUACCAUGUCUACCAUGUGCCUUACAGAGUUCUGGGUCUGAUAAUACAGCAGUGAAUAAAGUCCCCGCUCACAUGGAGGGGGUAGGCUGAUGGUGAUGGAACUCAUAAGUAUACGGCAGGUGUUAGUAAACACUGCAGAGAAAAAUAAAGCUGUGUCAGAGAGAGAGAGUACCUGGGGAUCAGGGGUAGAGCGACGUUAACCAGGGCUAAUAGGAAGGCCUCUUUGAUAUUAUUAGGCCAGUGAGGAAUCAGCUGUGGGAGUGUCUGGAGGAAGAGGAUUCCAGGCAGAGAAAAUAAAAAAGUAACUGCAGUAGAGACGGGAGCAGGCUUUGUGUGUCCAAGAGACACAUCAUGGCAGAUCAGGUAGGACUCUGUUGGCCACAGUAAGAAGCUGUUUGGAAGGUAGGAAAUGAUAACUAGAGAGAGUGAAGAUGGUAUUCUGAGAGUCUAUGUGAUUUAUUGUAGGGAUCCCAGAGAGUCGAGCCCCUUGUGCCUCAUAACUGGAGUGUUUACAAGCCGUGUAAGGCCUUCUUGCAGUAAAAUGCUACUUUUGUAAUUUAAAUUAUUAUGCUAUGAAAACCUUAGCAAAGAUAGAUAAAGUUGAACUAUUUGAAGCACAAUUACAGCUAAAAAGCGCAAAGUGGGCAAUUCUUCCUAUCACAUCUACUCCUCAGAGAGAUGUGGGGUACCUGAAUGUCUAACUGUGGAAUGUUUUGAUUUGAUUUAAAUUUGCCAAAAACUCAUCUUCCAUAAGGCAUAUCUUUGCUGAUUUUUGCACUCAGUAACAAGCAGUUUAGAAUUUUGAACUGAAGGGAUUUUAAAUCCAUGUUUAAAGUGCUUUCAUUUUAAAAUAAUUCUUAGUUUUAUGUUCAGUCAGAUGAUAAGCUCCUUUUUAAAAUUCUGUAUGAAAACUUACUGUUUGGUACAGGUUAAGAAGUCUUGUUAUACAGUACUUAUUUUAUUGGAGGUACAAAGAGAGUGUGGAAAAAUAAAGGCAAUUGGCCAGGUGGGAAGGGUAAAAUUGUUUCAUGUACCUUUUCUCUUGUAAAGUUGUGUUAAAAACAUUUUUGUAAUUUCUUAAAGGUAGAGUUGAUUGCCAUAAUUUGAUUGCAGCCCCCUGUCAUUACUUCACUAUUAUACUCGGAUACUAAAUGCCCCUUACUAAAUGUAAGGAAAUGGGCAAGUUCUGUCAUCUGGGAGUUUACAUGUUAAGAGACAUUGCACGGGUGAGAACAGACAUAAAAUGUAUAUGUAAUUAUAUCGACAACAUACAGGGCUUAGAAAGGGGCUUGAUAGCCUUUUAUAGGUGUCGUCCAGGUUUAUCUUACUUGAAAUACUGCCUGAGACUCUAUACCUAAUUCUUAUCACAUAGCCUUUCUAUUAGUCAGUGAUAGAUUUGGGUUGGGUUAACCCUCAUAUUCUUUUAGCAAGGGACCCACCUGCAGAAAAGAGUUAUUAUUGGUUUUGUCAUUUAUAGUUUAGUUCAACAAGACCGGAUUUCCUCACCGCCUUUGGCUGAAACUGACUGACUAAAUCAGUUUCACUUGUGGGGUAGAGAAAUGAGUAAUUUGGGAACAUAGAGCGUUGUGUGGAGGAGAGCUUAGUUUGCCCCUCUUCAUCCUCCCCUUAGGUAAGAAGUCUGCAUUGAGAGAGGGAGAAAGAUUUGGGACAUCAUGGGGAAACUGACCCCCUUGAGUGAGACACAUUGGGAAUUAAGAGAAAGAUGUAAAAAUGGACCAGGAGAGGAUGUACAGAAGCCCCAGGGGAGCCAGAGAAUUUCUGGUCCUAAGCUCAAGUGUCAGCCUCAGUUCUGCCUAGCAUCUUGGACAUGCUGUCCCUGCUGGCUUAUCUCCUGUAAGACAAGGGGCAUACUCCUGACUUACUGAGCAUCCCAUCUCAGAGGAGCUGGGAGGACAAGGAAUUCAGGAAUGGACUUUCAAGACAACAUCUAACCCGAGUCUUCUGCAGACAUUUCUCUACUGAAUCUACUUUCUAAGUGUAGAUUAAUGUCUAAGAGAUAGACAUUAAGUUUCUUUUUCUACCAGCCUCUGACCCCCUUGCUUUGAGGAAAACACAUGUGUUGUCCAUGAAGUGGUGAGUUCUGUUUGGUCCUUCCUCUAAGAUUGGUCCGGGGCUUGAGCCGUUUUGCCCCAUGUGCUCUGGGAUUUCCCCCGGUUGUCCCCCCAUAUAAGUAGACAACUUGCUGUCUGUGUUCUAAGACCUUCAUAUUUUUCCCUUUGACUUGAGUCUGUUCUGGAACAAUUGUGUGGUGGCUGGGCACUGCAAAAUGAGUCAGUUCCUGCAGUUUGGUUACAAGUUCUCAAAAAGUAUUUCAGAAUGUGGAUGUGGUCAGCAGAGUCAUUUUCCAGACAUCUAAAAGGAAACCCACAUCAACUGUAACAAUUGAGCUACGAACCGAUGGCUCUACACAACAGAAUGGGGCCUGCUUUUCCUCAAAGCCUGUAGGUGCCCUCACAUCUAGCAUUCUCUAUGGAUCGGAAAGGAGAAUUCAUCUUCAUGCUUGUAGAUCACAUUUUAUCUGUUACUGUUGACAUAAAAAAAUGCGAUAGAGGUUUUGGCCUUCAUCACCUUUUGAAUGUGGGCACAAAUUUGACAUAAGAAAUAAUUAGUAAAAUGGAAUCUAUGGGAUUAGAGUAUAAUUAGUGCAAAGUGUGAAAUGUGGCUUAGGGAUAGAUGCUUGGGUAAUUGAACUAAUGCACGAAGGAGAGGUUAAGAUGGUUUGGGUACCGAUAGAGUACAUCGAAAUAUGCUUAUUUGGUUUACUAAUAGUCUGAACCUGUGCAGACUUAGCAGCAAUACUGAUAAAAUAUCAUUAAAUCCUUUUCAAGCUUUAAAAGAAGUUCAGAUUUGUCAUAACAUUUGGAGAAUAUUUUCGCUCCACACAAGUUUUGGAAAAUAAUCUUUGUGAAUUUUUUUAUCCUCUUGGGUAUCAUGAAUUGUAAAAUUUUGUUGCAGUUCUCGGUUACCAGUCUUGCUCCACUCAUUAAAACUGAUGGCAUUUUCAAUAAUAAGAAAACAAAAUUUAAAAAUGGGUAAACGAUUUGAACAGACACUUCACCACAGAAGAUACGCAAAUGGCAGAUAAGCACAAGAAAAAAUCUUUUCAAUGUCAUUAGUGAAACACAAGUCAAAACCACAGUGAGGUACUGCUACACACCUAUCUGAAUGGCUAAAAUUUAAGAAGCCAGCCAUGCCAACUGUUGGUAAGGAUGUGUAGGAUUUAGAACUCUCAUGUAAAAUGAUACAAACAUGUCAAACAUACACCUAUCAUAUGAUUCAGCUGUUUCACUCCCAGAGAAAAGAAAGCAUGUGCUCACCUGAAGACUCGUACGUGAAUAUGCGUAGUAGUUUUAUUAGUAAUAGCUAAAAGCUGGAAACAAUCCUAAUGUCUAUCAACAGGUAAAUGGAUAAACAAAUUGUGGUGUAUCUGUAUGAUGGAUACUACUCAAUAAUAAGAAGGAAUGAACUAUUGAUACCUUCAAUAACAUGGAUGACCCUAACCCAUGAGAGUCAUAUCAUAUGAUUCCAUGUAUACAGAAUUCUGGAAAAUGUGAAAGCAGAUCAGUGGUUAC
Molecule: long non-coding RNA, 13745 nt
Organism: Pan troglodytes (chimpanzee)
Lineage: Eukaryota; Metazoa; Chordata; Mammalia; Primates; Hominidae
Exons: 2
Source: RefSeq, a predicted model, not a curated record